This 420-nucleotide ribosomal RNA is filed under the name uncultured bacterium. Its description in RNAcentral is "bacterial SSU rRNA". It matches the Rfam family "Bacterial small subunit ribosomal RNA", at positions 360 to 772 of the family's 1533-position model. The record is from RNAcentral.
AAUCUUGGGCAAUGGGCGCAAGCCUGACCCAGCCAUGCCGCGUGUGUGAAGAAGGCCCUCGGGUUGUAAAGCACUUUCAGUGGUGAAGAAAAGCUCGAGGCUAAUACCCUCGGGUCUUGACGUUAACUACAGAAGAAGCAACGGCUAACUCCGUGCCAGCAGCCGCGGUAAUACGGAGGGUGCGAACGUUAAUCGGAAUUACUGGGCGUAAAGCGCACGUAGGCGGUUCGCUAAGUGGGAUGUGAAAGCCCUGGGCUCAACCUGGGAACUGCAUUUCAGACUGGCGGACUAGAGUACGGUAGAGGGCGGUGGAAUUCCCUGUGUAGCGGUGAAAUGCGUAGAUAUAGGGAGGAACAUCAGUGGCGAAGGCGGCCGCCUGGAUCGAUACUGACGCUGAGGUGCGAAAGCGUGGGGAGCAAA